UACGUAGGCAGCGAGCGUUGUUCGGAGUUACUGGGCGUAAAGAGUAUGUAGGCGGUUGCGUAAGUUUGGUGUGAAAUCUCCCGGCUUAACUGGGAGGGUGCGCCGAAAACUGCGUGGCUAGAGUGUGGGAGAGGAAAGCGGAAUUCCUGGUGUAGCGGUGAAAUGCGUAGAUAUCAGGAGGAACACCGGCGGUGUAGACGGCUUUUUGGACCAUUACUGACGCUGAGAUACGAAAGCGUGGGUAGCAAACAGG
This 253-nucleotide ribosomal RNA is filed under the name uncultured bacterium. Its description in RNAcentral is "partial 16S ribosomal RNA". It matches the Rfam family "Bacterial small subunit ribosomal RNA", at positions 524 to 776 of the family's 1533-position model. The record is from RNAcentral.